AAUAGCCAUAGAUCUUUUAACGAUUAAUGUUGUUAAUAAAGGUCUGUGAUAAUCAUAGAACAAUAUGGUGAUAAUAGUUUGCUAUAGUAUUUUGUAAUUUUGUCCUUAAUCGUGGUUACUAUAUCUACAAUAUUGUCAAAUGUCAAUCAAUUAAUACAAUUAUUUAUUAAAUCAAAACAUUUUUAAUUUGGUAACUGUGUCAAAAUUAAUAGUUAAUACGUUCAUUACACACCAAGCGACAUAACGGACUGUUAUAUUACUUUUAUUACAUAAUUCCUAGUGCUAAAGGGAUCACGACGGAUGGAUUUGUUUCUAUAUUUUUUUUUUUAUAGAAUCAAAAACAGGGACUCUAAAACCAAUUUGAGAUAAAAACUCGGAGCAAUUAAACAUGCCAUUUAGUAUUUAUUAAUUUGUACUUUGUAAUUAGUUCAAGAGUCACAAACCACGAACAAAACAUCAAAAUUUAAAAUACUUCCUGCGAGUAAUGAGUGAUACAAGACCUUGUCAGUUUGCAACAUCUUCCAUAAGUUAGCAAGAUACAGUAUCUGACAUAAAUAUGCGGCUGAUCCAAUGAGAAGAUUAUUCUCUGCUGUUUGGAAACACUUCAACUGAAAAAACUGUUCUUCUUAUUAUAAUUGUUUAUCCCAGUCACCAUAAAGAACUUCCACAUAAACUUGGAUAAAAAUAAUAUUGACUAACACGGACUUCUCAACUAUGUUUUAUUCAGUUAAUUUGUCUAUUCCAUCAUUAUCAGUUUCAGAUGGAAAAUAUCUACAUAACUGAAUAAUAAUAAUUUGAUCAUUUUUGAAAGUGAUUAUGAUUGCAAGGAAUGAAAUAUAAACAUUAAAUUUAAAAUUAUUGUUAAGAUUUUGAGAAUUUUUUUCAGUUUUAACUCGCCAGUAUUUUAUGUCUAAAAGUAUUGAAAGUAUUACAUGAAUAUUUGAAUAUUCAUAGCAUUGUAAUUAUGAUACUGUAUUAUUAAUCUGGAUAUUUAGGGCAAACAUUUUCAUCUAGUAAUCGUAUUAAAUAUUCAAAUAUAAUUAAACAUGAUUUUAUAUUUAACUUUGAUUGAAACAACAAUUAACUAUUCUACUAAUAGGUGCAACCACGAAUUUUCCAGAGAACUUGCACGUUAAAUUUUCUGAAGCCAAUACUGUAAUAAUGACCUAGUCUAACACUUUCACGCAUAAUAGCCAAGUACAUAAUUUUUUAUCACAUACCUUUUAAUAUACUAUAAUAAAUUGUGCACCAUUUAAAGAUGUUGAUCAUGGUUAGUGUAGAAAUUAUACACUAGACUCAUAGUAAACUGUGGCCAUUGAAGACAGUUAUUAUUUAUUUAACAUUAUUAAGCCUAUUAUAAAUCUAUUACAUUUACAAUUAGCACAA
Molecule: long non-coding RNA, 1386 nt
Organism: Myzus persicae (green peach aphid)
Lineage: Eukaryota; Metazoa; Arthropoda; Insecta; Hemiptera; Aphididae
Exons: 3
Source: RefSeq, a predicted model, not a curated record